UAAAUUGAGAGUUUGAUCCUGGCUCAGGAUGAACGCUGGCGGCGUGCUUAACACAUGCAAGUCGAGCGAUGAAGUUUCCUUCGGGAAACGGAUUAGCGGCGGACGGGUGAGUAACACGUGGGUAACCUGCCUCAUAGAGUGGAAUAGCCUUCCGAAAGGAAGAUUAAUACCGCAUAAUGUUGAAAGAUGGCAUCAUCAUUUAACCAAAGGAGCAAUCUGCUAUGAGAUGGACCCGCGGCGCAUUAGCUAGUUGGUGGGGUAACGGCCUACCAAGGCGACGAUGCGUAGCCGACCUGAGAGGGUGAUCGGCCACAUUGGGACUGAGACACGGCCCAGACUCCUACG
This 345-nucleotide ribosomal RNA is filed under the name Clostridium perfringens. RNAcentral describes it as "bacterial SSU rRNA". It matches the Rfam family "Bacterial small subunit ribosomal RNA", at positions 1 to 343 of the family's 1533-position model. Lineage: Bacteria; Bacillati; Bacillota; Clostridia; Eubacteriales; Clostridiaceae. The record is from RNAcentral.